Molecule: small RNA, 281 nt
Filed under: uncultured Phyllobacterium sp.
Lineage: Bacteria; Pseudomonadati; Pseudomonadota; Alphaproteobacteria; Hyphomicrobiales; Phyllobacteriaceae
Description: 5' ureB small RNA
Rfam family: 5' ureB small RNA
Source: RNAcentral
UCGAUCUGCUGCGGGCAGAUGAAAUGGAUAUGCGCGUCCAUGCCGCCAGCCGUUAGAAUCUUGCCCUCGCAGGCGAUGAUUUCCGUGCCGGGCCCGAUAAUGAUGGUAACGCCCGGCUGCGUGUCGGGAUUGCCGGCCUUGCCGAUGGCGGCAAUCAGCCCGUCCUUGAGCCCGACAUCCGCCUUGUAGAUGCCGGUAUGGUCGACGAUCAGGGCAUUGGUGAUGACCGUAUCGACGGCGCCGUCAGCCCGGGCCACCUGGCUCUGUCCCAUGCCGUCGCG